This 1550-nucleotide ribosomal RNA is filed under the name Klebsiella pneumoniae. RNAcentral's name for it is "bacterial SSU rRNA". It matches the Rfam family "Bacterial small subunit ribosomal RNA". Lineage: Bacteria; Pseudomonadati; Pseudomonadota; Gammaproteobacteria; Enterobacterales; Enterobacteriaceae. The record is from RNAcentral.
AAAUUGAAGAGUUUGAUCAUGGCUCAGAUUGAACGCUGGCGGCAGGCCUAACACAUGCAAGUCGAGCGGUAGCACAGAGAGCUUGCUCUCGGGUGACGAGCGGCGGACGGGUGAGUAAUGUCUGGGAAACUGCCUGAUGGAGGGGGAUAACUACUGGAAACGGUAGCUAAUACCGCAUAACGUCGCAAGACCAAAGUGGGGGACCUUCGGGCCUCAUGCCAUCAGAUGUGCCCAGAUGGGAUUAGCUAGUAGGUGGGGUAACGGCUCACCUAGGCGACGAUCCCUAGCUGGUCUGAGAGGAUGACCAGCCACACUGGAACUGAGACACGGUCCAGACUCCUACGGGAGGCAGCAGUGGGGAAUAUUGCACAAUGGGCGCAAGCCUGAUGCAGCCAUGCCGCGUGUGUGAAGAAGGCCUUCGGGUUGUAAAGCACUUUCAGCGGGGAGGAAGGCGUUAAGGUUAAUAACCUCAUCGAUUGACGUUACCCGCAGAAGAAGCACCGGCUAACUCCGUGCCAGCAGCCGCGGUAAUACGGAGGGUGCAAGCGUUAAUCGGAAUUACUGGGCGUAAAGCGCACGCAGGCGGUCUGUCAAGUCGGAUGUGAAAUCCCCGGGCUCAACCUGGGAACUGCAUUCGAAACUGGCAGGCUAGAGUCUUGUAGAGGGGGGUAGAAUUCCAGGUGUAGCGGUGAAAUGCGUAGAGAUCUGGAGGAAUACCGGUGGCGAAGGCGGCCCCCUGGACAAAGACUGACGCUCAGGUGCGAAAGCGUGGGGAGCAAACAGGAUUAGAUACCCUGGUAGUCCACGCCGUAAACGAUGUCGAUUUGGAGGUUGUGCCCUUGAGGCGUGGCUUCCGGAGCUAACGCGUUAAAUCGACCGCCUGGGGAGUACGGCCGCAAGGUUAAAACUCAAAUGAAUUGACGGGGGCCCGCACAAGCGGUGGAGCAUGUGGUUUAAUUCGAUGCAACGCGAAGAACCUUACCUGGUCUUGACAUCCACAGAACUUUCCAGAGAUGGAUUGGUGCCUUCGGGAACUGUGAGACAGGUGCUGCAUGGCUGUCGUCAGCUCGUGUUGUGAAAUGUUGGGUUAAGUCCCGCAACGAGCGCAACCCUUAUCCUUUGUUGCCAGCGGUUCGGCCGGGAACUCAAAGGAGACUGCCAGUGAUAAACUGGAGGAAGGUGGGGAUGACGUCAAGUCAUCAUGGCCCUUACGACCAGGGCUACACACGUGCUACAAUGGCAUAUACAAAGAGAAGCGACCUCGCGAGAGCAAGCGGACCUCAUAAAGUAUGUCGUAGUCCGGAUUGGAGUCUGCAACUCGACUCCAUGAAGUCGGAAUCGCUAGUAAUCGUAGAUCAGAAUGCUACGGUGAAUACGUUCCCGGGCCUUGUACACACCGCCCGUCACACCAUGGGAGUGGGUUGCAAAAGAAGUAGGUAGCUUAACCUUCGGGAGGGCGCUUACCACUUUGUGAUUCAUGACUGGGGUGAAGUCGUAACAAGGUAACCGUAGGGGAACCUGCGGUUGGAUCACCUCCUUACCUUAAAGAA